UGAAGAUAUAUUUAUAAUUUUUGUACUUAUUGUUGUACACAUAAGUUACAUGUUUAUUAUUAAUUACGGAGGACAGAAAGUAACAGAUCAUGGAAUGAAAGUGUUUAAAGCAACUUAUAAUGGACUGUAGUAUGCAGUACCAUUGCCCACGCAGAAAAUGUUAUUAUUUAUAAUGCAAGAAGGAAUAAUCAAUGUCAGUAUAAUAUGCGGUAACUUAUUUCUUGCUUCCUUAGAAGGUUUUGCUUCGCUUACGAAUGCGGCAGUAUCUUACUUUAUGGUGAUAUACUCUACACGAUAAUACGAUAAAAUAUAGCAGAAAAAAAAAUAAUUAUAAUUAUCGG
This is a long non-coding RNA of Camponotus floridanus (Florida carpenter ant), 341 nucleotides long. RefSeq lists it as uncharacterized. Lineage: Eukaryota; Metazoa; Arthropoda; Insecta; Hymenoptera; Formicidae. The record is from RefSeq and is a predicted model, not a curated record. The transcript has 3 exons.